Molecule: non-coding RNA, 1640 nt
Organism: Zonotrichia albicollis (white-throated sparrow)
Lineage: Eukaryota; Metazoa; Chordata; Aves; Passeriformes; Passerellidae
Source: RefSeq, a predicted model, not a curated record
AGGGUUUGUUCUUGCUUCUCUUUUCUUAUUGCCAAAUAAAAUACAAUUAAAGCAACAUUUUCUAUGCCAGCCAGCACAGCUAACAUCGCUUUUCUGACGGCGCUUUUUUCUGUCAGCCAAUGAAAAUAAACGAUGCAGGAUUACCAGGGAGCAUCCAGCCUCCGUGGCUGGAGGGGGAUGCUGAGCAGCAGGCAUUCCAGUUGGAAACAGAAGGAUUUUAUUCCCGUGGUAUUGAGAGAAUUUGGGGAUGAUUACCUCUGAAAAGGUGACUUUAGACCAUUUGUGCAUCAGGGAAGAGGAUGGUGAUGUGUGUCCUGACAAUUGCUUUGGGUUCAUUUUCCCACUACGCUGAAGAUGGGACCUUCACUCAGUGGUCAGCAGAGCUGGGGGAUGAGCUAGCAGCUGCCUUUUCCUCCUUUCUGCCCAAGGAGCUGCUGUUUGUGACAAAGAGCACCCUGUCACCCCAACUGUGCCCCCUUGCAGGGCUGGGAGAGUGGCAGAGCCAUGUCUGUGCUCAUUGGAAUGCUGGUGCCAUCCUGCAGCUCAGCCUGCCUCCAACCCUGCUCCAGUCCCAGUGCAGGGGAUGCAGGGGGAGAGGGAGCUGGACACAGUGUCAAGGAGGGCCAGGUAAGGCUGCUGUGGUUUUUGGGAUGUUCAACUGCUCUGCUUUUAGAAACAAGGCUGUGCCGAAAGUGAGAGGAGAGCAUGGAGGCAGCAGGCUCUCAGCAGAAUCCUCUUACUGUGCCCCAGGUCUCAGCUACAGGCACAAAAACCAUUUCUGGCAAAUCCCUGGUGGUAGGAGCUGCCUGUUCCAGGAAGGUGAGGCAGUGUGUGUGCUGAAGCACAGGUAGGUGUCCAUCCCAGAGGCUUGUCCCUCCAUGGCACAAGGUGAUGGUCAGUGCCCUCCUGACCCUCUCCCAUUUAACCUGUGGGAGGUGGGACCUGGGGAAAACCACCAAGCUGGGUGACCAAACCUUCUCCUCCUCUUCCUCAGGAUGGAGCUGUCCAUCUUGUGUUCCCCUUCUUCCAGCAAGGUCAGCUCAUCCUUUGAGAGAAGUUCCUGCUGGAAACUGAGAACAGAACCACUCCAGGCGUGCAGUGGAGCCCGGGGCAGUGACCCAGCUCUCACCCCAGCUGCAGGGUGUGGAUGGGGGCACCCUCAGCCUCAGGGGUGCUGGGGGCAGGUAAGAGGCACCCAGUCCCACACAGCCUGUAAAACCUGGCCGUGCUGGCAGCCUGGAGCUGGGCUGGGGGACACGAGGGGCUGUGGGAUGUGGCACACCUCGCUCCUGCCCCGCGCCUGCCUUGUCAGGUCUGAUCAGGAGGAGGAUCAGUUGGCCCUGUUCCUCGCUCUCCAGAUUUAAUUAACGGGCCUUUCAUCUCUACCCUGAAGGAAUCUGCUAUCUUCUGUCUUCUUAAUUAACGUUCAUUAAGCAAAUCAGAAGAACAUUUUCUCCUCUCCGCCUCCACGGCUUUUAACCCUUGCGGGGAACCAGGUCUGUGUUGGGGCAGAAGAAGCCUCCUGGACAGGCUGGUGUCAUCACAGCCUUGGUCACCACAUCCCUCAAGUGCUUGGACCAAAGUCCUGGAGCAUUGGGUGAAGUCUCUCCAGGUACAGAGGAGUUCAGGUGAGGUUGGAC